RNAcentral lists this ribosomal RNA (292 nucleotides) under uncultured Flavobacteriaceae bacterium. Its description in RNAcentral is "partial 16S ribosomal RNA". It matches the Rfam family "Bacterial small subunit ribosomal RNA", at positions 195 to 487 of the family's 1533-position model. The record is from RNAcentral. Lineage: Bacteria; Pseudomonadati; Bacteroidota; Flavobacteriia; Flavobacteriales; Flavobacteriaceae.
UAAUGAAGAAAACUCCGGUGGUAAAAGAUGGGCAUGCGUCCUAUUAGUUAGUUGGUAAGGUAACGGCUUACCAAGACUCCGAUAGGUAGGGGUCCUGAGAGGGAGAUCCCCCACACUGGUACUGAGACACGGACCAGACUCCUACGGGAGGCAGCAGUGAGGAAUAUUGGACAAUGGAGGCAACUCUGAUCCAGCCAUGCCGCGUGCAGGAAGACGGCCCUACGGGUUGUAAACUGCUUUUAUACAGGAAGAACUAUAUCUACGUGUAGAUAUUUGACGGUACUGUACGAAU